This 464-nucleotide ribosomal RNA is filed under the name Orvasca dolichocera. RNAcentral describes it as "partial large subunit ribosomal RNA". Lineage: Eukaryota; Metazoa; Arthropoda; Insecta; Lepidoptera; Erebidae. The record is from RNAcentral.
UGCCCACUGAUUAUAAUAAUUAAAGGGCUGCAGUAUAUUGACUGUACAAAGGUAGCAUAAUCAUUAGUCAUUUAAUUGAUGACUUGUAUGAAAGAUUUGAUGAGAUAUAAACUGUCUUAAUUUUAAAUUGUAGAAUUUAAUUUUUUAGUUAAAAAGCUAAAAUAAUUUAAAAAGACGAGAAGACCCUAUAGAGUUUUAUUUUAAUAUAAAAGUUUAUAAAUUUAUGUAAAUUUUAAAUUGAAAUUUUUAUUAAAAUUUUAUUGGGGUGAUAGAAAAAUUUAAUAAACUUUUUUUAUAUAAUUAACAUUAAUAAGUGAUUAUUUGAUCCAAUUUUAUUGAUUAUAAGAAUAAAUUACCUUAGGGAUAACAGCGUAAUUUUUUUUUUUAGUUCAUAUAAGAAAAAAAGUUUGCGACCUCGAUGUUGGAUUAAGAUAAAAUUUAAAUGUAGAAGUUUAAAAUUUUGA